Molecule: ribosomal RNA, 537 nt
Filed under: uncultured bacterium
Lineage: Bacteria
Description: bacterial SSU rRNA
Rfam family: Bacterial small subunit ribosomal RNA
Source: RNAcentral
AAUAGAUACCCUGGUAGUCCACGCCGUAAACGAUGGAUACUAGCUGUUGGAGGUAUCGACCCCUCCAGUAGCGAAGCUAACGCGUUAAGUAUUCCGCCUGUGGAGUACGGUCGCAAGACUAAAACAUAAAGGAAUUGACGGGGACCCGCACAAGCGGUGGAUUGUGUUCUUUAAUUCGAUGAUAAACGAAGAACCUUACCAGGGUUUGACAUCCCAAGAAUUAUGCCGAAAGGCGUGAGUGCUUUAUUGAACUUGGUGACAGGUGAUGCAUGGCCGUCGUCAGCUCGUGUCGUGAGAUGUUCGGUUAAGUUCGGCAACGAGCGCAACCCACACUUCCAGUUGCCAGCAUUCAGUUGGGCACUCUGGAAGAACUGCCGAUGAUAAGUCGGAGGAAGGUGUGGAUGACGUCAAGUCCUCAUGGCCCUUACGGGUUGGGCUACACACGUGCUACAAUGGUGGUGACAGUGGGUUAAUCCCCAAAAGCCAUCUCAGUUCGGAUUGGGGUCUGCAACUCGACCCCAUGAAGUUGGAAUCGCU